GACGAACGCUGGCGGCGUGCUUAACACAUGCAAGUCGAACGGAAAGGCCCUGCUUUUGUGGGGUGCUCGAGUGGCGAACGGGUGAGUAACACGUGAGUAACCUGCCCUUGACUUUGGGAUAACUUCAGGAAACUGGGGCUAAUACCGGAUAGGAGCUCCUGCUGCAUGGGGGGGGUUGGAAAGUUUCGGCGGUUGGGGAUGGACUCGCGGCUUAUCAGCUUGUUGGUGGGGUAGUGGCUUACCAAGGCUUUGACGGGUAGCCGGCCUGGGAGGGUGACCGGCCACAUUGGGACUGAGAUACGGCCCAGACUCCUACGGGAGGCAGCGGUGGGGAAUAUUGCGCAAUGGGCGGAAGCCUGAUGCAGCAACGCCGCGUGCGGGAUGACGGCCUUCGGGUUGUAAACCGCUUUCGCCUGUGACGAAGCGUGAGUGACGGUAAUGGGUAAAGAAGCACCGGCUAACUACGUG
This 468-nucleotide ribosomal RNA is filed under the name uncultured bacterium. Its description in RNAcentral is "partial 16S ribosomal RNA". It matches the Rfam family "Bacterial small subunit ribosomal RNA", at positions 28 to 507 of the family's 1533-position model. The record is from RNAcentral.